UUUAUGGAGAGUUUGAUCCUGGCUCAGGACGAACGCUGGCGGCGUGCCUAAUACAUGCAAGUCGAGCGGAGAAUGAAAAGCUUGCUUUUCAUUCUUAGCGG
This 101-nucleotide ribosomal RNA is filed under the name Anaerobacillus alkaliphilus. Its description in RNAcentral is "Bacterial small subunit ribosomal RNA". It matches the Rfam family "Bacterial small subunit ribosomal RNA", at positions 1 to 98 of the family's 1533-position model. The record is from Rfam by way of RNAcentral. Lineage: Bacteria; Bacillati; Bacillota; Bacilli; Caryophanales; Bacillaceae.